GCGGGGGUAGCUUGCUACCUGCCGGCGAGUGGCGAACGGGUGAGUAAUACAUCGGAACGUGCCCUGUAGUGGGGGAUAACUAGUCGAAAGACUAGCUAAUACCGCAUACGACCUGAGGGUGAAAGUGGGGGACCGCAAGGCCUCAUGCUAUAGGAGCGGCCGAUGUCUGAUUAGCUAGUUGGUGGGGUAAAGGCCCACCAAGGCGACGAUCAGUAGCUGGUCUGAGAGGACGAUCAGCCACACUGGGACUGAGACACGGCCCAGACUCCUACGGGAGGCAGCAGUGGGGAAUUUUGGACAAUGGGGGCAACCCUGAUCCAGCAAUGCCGCGUGUGUGAAGAAGGCCUUCGGGUUGUAAAGCACUUUUGUCCGGAAAGAAAUCGCUUCGGUUAAUACCUGGAGUGGAUGACGGUACCGGAAGAAUAAGGACCGGCUAACUACGUGCCAGCAGCCGCGGUAAUACGUAGGGUCCAAGCGUUAAUCGGAAUUACUGGGCGUAA
RNAcentral lists this ribosomal RNA (500 nucleotides) under Ralstonia solanacearum. RNAcentral's name for it is "bacterial SSU rRNA". It matches the Rfam family "Bacterial small subunit ribosomal RNA", at positions 69 to 563 of the family's 1533-position model. The record is from RNAcentral. Lineage: Bacteria; Pseudomonadati; Pseudomonadota; Betaproteobacteria; Burkholderiales; Burkholderiaceae.